UUGGUCGCCGCGACUCGCGCUGUGAGCGGCUCGCUGAUUGGACGGGCGGGCGCGAGAGCGACGGCCGAGGGCGGUGGCAGCGCUGCUCUCCUCGGUGAGGGGGGGCCCUGUGACGUCACGCUGACGUCAUACCGCGCCAUGGCCCGCUGGGACGAGCUGCGGCGUGUUCUCUGUGCAAGAAGAUUCUAUGUUUGGUAGUCCUUACUCACUUGUUCCUGCCGUUUGGUUUCUCAACUCUCUGCUGCAGGGAUCUUGAAGUGCAUUAAAACGUAGAAUGCACACCUGGAUCGCCCUGCUGGUGGAGCCUCUGAGCCUGGAGAAGUGGAAUUUGUGUUCUGAUGGCCAGUAAAACUGAAGUAGUUGGAUGGAGGACUGCUACAUCCAAGUACCAGCACAGUUAAUUUUCUAGCUUGUUUUCUAAAGUUGGAGUUACUGAAAUGCAAACUGCACUUCGGUGUCCUGGUGCAGGGCUGGUGCUUGAUUAGAAGAGGUGUCUGGAGCUGACAGUUGUAAUGGAAGUAAAAGGAAGCAUGGAAAUCCGCUCUCUUUCUUGAAAAGAGAGGCUUCCCAUUGACUCCCAGGGCGUGGCUUUUGCAGCUAGCUGUUAGAGCUGAGGUGGUGUCCUUAAGCUGACAAGCAGGAAGGAGUUGAGAAGGAUUAUGGUGUGCAGCUGGGGAAACAGGAUGCUACUUAAUUUCCCCCAAAGGCAAGUUCCUUCUGGUUCUUCGGCACAUGGCAACGUCUCAGGGAAGAAUAAAGGAGCAGUUCAUGCUCUUACAAUGAUGGAGAUAUGAAAUGUUAGAACCCAAAACCCCAAUCUAUAUAUAUGUGUGUGUGUGUGUGUGUGUAAAACAAGGUAAGUUUAAGACAAAGGUGGUGAAAGGAGAGGAUAUAUUUACAUAAGACAAGGAAGAAAAAGAAAAGGAUGGGGAUGGAAUGAAGUUUCCCAAAACCUUGUCUUUCAGAACACAUGGUUACAGCUGCAGGCAGCCCUGGGGAGCAGAUCCUGACCUUCAUUGCUCUUCUUGGGGAAAAAGCAGUUGGAGGAAUUGCUUGCAGACGGAAUUUUAAGGUUAACAAAAGAGAUCACGUUCAGCCAUUGAACGAUGGAGAAACCUUUUGGUAGGCUUGGGAAAUCUUGGCUACAUUUACUGCAGCCCCUCUCUAAAAGCUUAAAAACCUAACUCUUGCACGUGUUUUUCAAGCAUGCCGACCACUUGCAGCCCUUACUGAUGACUUCCGUUGUGCUUCGGUGAAGAAGCAUUUCAACCGUUCUUCAUCUUGGCCCCGGAGCAGCGCGUCUGAAAAGA
This is a non-coding RNA of Meleagris gallopavo (turkey), 1310 nucleotides long. The record is from RefSeq and is a predicted model, not a curated record. NCBI's taxonomy places the organism in Eukaryota, Metazoa, Chordata, Aves, Galliformes, Phasianidae.